GACGAACGCUGGCGGCGUGCUUAACACAUGCGAGUCGAACGGAAAGGCCCCCUUGUGGGGUACUCGAGUGGCGAACGGGUGAGUAACACGUGAGUAACCUACCCUUGACUUUGGGAUAACUUCAGGAAACUGGGGCUAAUACCGGAUAGGAGCUCCUGCUGCAUGGUGGGGGUUGGAAAGUUUCGGCGGUUGGGGAUGGACUCGCGGCUUAUCAGCUUGUUGGUGGGGUAGUGGCUCACCAAGGCUUUGACGGGUAGCCGGCCUGAGAGGGUGACCGGCCACAUUGGGACUGAGAUACGGCCCAGACUCCUACGGGAGGCAGCAGUGGGGAAUAUUGCACAAUGGGCGGAAGCCUGAUGCAGCAACGCCGCGUGCGGGAUGACGGCCUUCGGGUUGUAAACCGCUUUCGCCUGUGACGAAGCGUGAGUGACGGUAAUGGGUAAAGAAGCACCGGCUGACUACGUG
RNAcentral lists this ribosomal RNA (465 nucleotides) under uncultured bacterium. RNAcentral describes it as "partial 16S ribosomal RNA". It matches the Rfam family "Bacterial small subunit ribosomal RNA", at positions 28 to 507 of the family's 1533-position model. The record is from RNAcentral.